GAUGAACGCUAGCUACAGGCUUAACACAUGCAAGUCGAGGGGGCAGCGCAGUGUAGCAAUACAUGGGCGGCGACCGGCGCACGGGUGCGUAACGCGUAUCCAACCUUCCCGUUACUCAGGGAUAGCCUUCCGAAAGGGAGAUUAAUACCUGAUGGUGUUGAAAUUCCGCAUGUUAUUUCAACUAAAGAUUUAUCGGUAACGGAUGGGGAUGCGUGACAUUAGAUAGUAGGCGGGGUAACGGCCCACCUAGUCUACGAUGUCUAGGGGUUCUGAGAGGAAGGUCCCCCCACACUGGAACUGAGACACGGUCCAGACUCCUACGGGAGGCAGCAGUGAGGAAUAUUGGUCAAUGGGCGGGAGCCUGAACCAGCCAAGUAGCGUGAAGGAUGACUGCCCUACGGGUUGUAAACGUUCUUUGUUUGGGAAUAAAAGACGCUACGUGUAGCGUCCUGCCAUGUACCUUACGAUAAGCAUCGGCUAAUUCCGUG
RNAcentral lists this ribosomal RNA (488 nucleotides) under uncultured bacterium. RNAcentral's name for it is "bacterial SSU rRNA". It matches the Rfam family "Bacterial small subunit ribosomal RNA", at positions 28 to 507 of the family's 1533-position model. The record is from RNAcentral.